Molecule: ribosomal RNA, 429 nt
Filed under: bacterium
Lineage: Bacteria
Description: partial 16S ribosomal RNA
Rfam family: Bacterial small subunit ribosomal RNA
Source: RNAcentral
UGGGGAAUCUUCCGCAAUGGACGAAAGUCUGAUGGAGCAACGCCGCGUGAGUGAUGACGGCCUUCGGGUUGUAAAGCUCUGUUAAUCGGGACGAAUGGUUCUUGUGCGAAUAGUGCAAGGAUUUGACGGUACCGGAAUAGAAAGCCACGGCUAACUACGUGCCAGCAGCCGCGGUAAUACGUAGGUGGCAAGCGUUGUCCGGAAUUAUUGGGCGUAAAGCGCGCGCAGGCGGAUUGGUCAGUCUGUCUUAAAAGUUCGGGGCUUAACCCCGUGAUGGGAUGGAAACUGCCAAUCUAGAGUAUCGGAGAGGAAAGUGGAAUUCCUAGUGUAGCGGUGAAAUGCGUAGAUAUUAGGAAGAACACCAGUGGCGAAGGCGACUUUCUGGACGAAAACUGACGCUGAGGCGCGAAAGCCAGGGGAGCGAACGGG